UACGGAGGCUCCAAGCGUUAUCCGGAAUCAUUGGGCUUAAAGGGUCCGUAGGCGGGUCAAUCAGUCAGUGGUGAACGUCUGCAGCUCAACUGUAGAAUUGCCGUUGAUAAUGUUAACCUUGAGUAAUUAUGAAGUGGUUAGAAUAUGUAGUGUAGCGGUGAAAUGCAUAGAUAUUACAUAGAAUACCGAUUGCGAAGGCAGAUCACUAAUAAUUCACUGACGCUGAUGGACGAAAGCGUAGGUAGCGAACAGG
RNAcentral lists this unclassified non-coding RNA (253 nucleotides) under uncultured Flavobacteriaceae bacterium. Its description in RNAcentral is "contains 16S-23S intergenic spacer region". It matches the Rfam family "Bacterial small subunit ribosomal RNA", at positions 524 to 776 of the family's 1533-position model. The record is from RNAcentral. Lineage: Bacteria; Pseudomonadati; Bacteroidota; Flavobacteriia; Flavobacteriales; Flavobacteriaceae.